CAGUCGCCGCGGGAACACGAAGGGUGCAAGCGUUACUUGGAAUUACUGGGCGUAAAGCGUGCGUAGGUGGUGGUUUAAGUCCGUUGUGAAAGCCCUGGGCUCAACCUGGGAAUUGCAGUGGAUACUGGGUCACUAGAGUGUGGUAGAGGAUAGUGGAAUUUCCGGUGUAGCAGUGAAAUGCGUAGAGAUCGGAAGGAACAUCUGUGGCGAAGGCGACUAUCUGGGCCAACACUGACACUGAGGCACGAAAGCGUGGGGAGCAAACAGGAUUAGAUACCCGAGUAGUCCCUGUCUCUUAUAC
RNAcentral lists this ribosomal RNA (301 nucleotides) under uncultured bacterium. RNAcentral describes it as "partial 16S ribosomal RNA". It matches the Rfam family "Bacterial small subunit ribosomal RNA", at positions 509 to 807 of the family's 1533-position model. The record is from RNAcentral.